Molecule: ribosomal RNA, 316 nt
Filed under: uncultured Agaricales
Lineage: Eukaryota; Fungi; Basidiomycota; Agaricomycetes; Agaricales
Description: partial large subunit ribosomal RNA
Rfam family: Eukaryotic large subunit ribosomal RNA
Source: RNAcentral
AUAUCAAUAAGCGGAGGAAAAGAAACUAACAAGGAUUCCCCUAGUAACUGCGAGUGAAGCGGGAAAAGCUCAAAUUUAAAAUCUGAUGGCCUUCAGCCAUCCGAGUUGUAAUUUAGAGAAGCGUCUUCCGCGCCGGACCGUGCACAAGUCUCCUGGAAUGGAGCGUCAUAGAGGGUGAGAAUCCCGUCUUUGACAUGGACCACCAGUGCUGAUGGUGCGCUCUCGAAGAGUCGAGUUGUUUGGGAAUGCAGCUCAAAAUGGGUGGUAAAUGCCAUCUAAAGCUAAAUAUUGGCGAGAGACCGAUAGCGCACAAGUA